UGCCGCGUGGGUGAAGAAGGCCUUCGGGUUGUAAAGCCCUUUUGGGGGUCUCAAGCAGUCGGUUAAUACCCGAUUGUUCUGACGGUACCCAAAGAAUAAGCACCGGCUAACUUCGUGCCAGCAGCCGCGGUAAUACGAAGGGUGCAAGCGUUACUCGGAAUUACUGGGCGUAAAGCGUGCGUAGGUGGUUUGUUAAGUCUGAUGUGAAAGCCCUGGGCUCAACCUGGGAAUUGCAUUGGAUACUGGCAGGCUAGAGUGCGGUAGAGGGUAGUGGAAUUCCCGGUGUAGCAGUGAAAUGCGUAGAGAUCGGGAGGAACAUCCGUGGCGAAGGCGACUACCUGGACCAGCACUGACACUGAGGCACGAAAGCGUGGGGAGCAAACAGGAUUAGAUACCCUGGUAGUCCACGCCCUAAACGAUGCGAACUGGAUGUUGGGUUCAACUAGGAACUCAGUAUCGAAGCUAACGCGUUAAGUUCGCCGCCUGGGGAGUACGGUCGCAAGACUGAAACUCAAAGGAAUUGACGGGGGCCCGCACAAGCGGUGGAGUAUGUGGUUUAAUUCGAUGCAACGCGAAGAACCUUACCUGGCCUUGACAUGCACGGAACUUUCCAGA
This 615-nucleotide ribosomal RNA is filed under the name Luteimonas sp. Ri1Ps_4520. Its description in RNAcentral is "bacterial SSU rRNA". It matches the Rfam family "Bacterial small subunit ribosomal RNA", at positions 395 to 1004 of the family's 1533-position model. The record is from RNAcentral. Lineage: Bacteria; Pseudomonadati; Pseudomonadota; Gammaproteobacteria; Lysobacterales; Lysobacteraceae.